ACUCCUACGGGAGGCAGCAGUGGGAAUAUUGGACAAUGGGGGAAACCCGUAGCAUCCAGCCAUGCCGCGUGUGUGAAGAAGGCCUUCGGGUUGUAAAGCACUUUCAGUGGGGAGGAAAGGUUGUUGGUUAAUACCUAGCAGCUGUGACGUUACCCACAGAAGAAGCACCGGCUAACUCCGUGCCAGCAGCCGCGGUAAUACGGAGGGUGCAAGCGUUAAUCGGAAUUACUGGGCGUAAAGCGUGCGCAGGCGGUCUGUUAAGCGAGAUGUGAAAGCCCGCAGCUAUACUUGGGAAUUGCAUUCGAUACUGGAUGGCUAGAGUAUGGGAGAGGAUGGUAGAAUUCCAGGUGUAGCGGUGAAAUGCGUAGAGAUCUGGAGGAAUACCGAUGGCGAAGGCAGCCAUCUGGCCUAAUACUGACGCUGAGGUACGAAAGCAUGGGGAGCAAACAGGAUUAGAUACCCUGGUAGGCUCUGCU
This 476-nucleotide ribosomal RNA is filed under the name uncultured bacterium. Its description in RNAcentral is "bacterial SSU rRNA". It matches the Rfam family "Bacterial small subunit ribosomal RNA", at positions 335 to 801 of the family's 1533-position model. The record is from RNAcentral.